This 429-nucleotide ribosomal RNA is filed under the name uncultured bacterium. RNAcentral's name for it is "bacterial SSU rRNA". It matches the Rfam family "Bacterial small subunit ribosomal RNA", at positions 355 to 776 of the family's 1533-position model. The record is from RNAcentral.
UGGGGAAUAUUGGACAAUGGGGGCAACCCUGAUCCAGCCAUGCCGCGUGUGUGAAGAAGGCCUUCGGGUUGUAAAGCACUUUCAGUGAGGAAGAAGGCCUGCGGGUUAAUAGCCGGCAGGAAGGACAUCACUCACAGAAGAAGCACCGGCUAACUCCGUGCCAGCAGCCGCGGUAAUACGGAGGGUGCGAGCGUUAAUCGGAAUUACUGGGCGUAAAGCGCGCGUAGGUGGCUUGAUAAGCCGGUUGUGAAAGCCCCGGGCUCAACCUGGGAACGGCAUCCGGAACUGUCAGGCUAGAGUGCAGGAGAGGAAGGUAGAAUUCCCGGUGUAGCGGUGAAAUGCGUAGAGAUCGGGAGGAAUACCAGUGGCGAAGGCGGCCUUCUGGACUGACACUGACACUGAGGUGCGAAAGCGUGGGUAGCAAACAGG